This 434-nucleotide ribosomal RNA is filed under the name uncultured bacterium. RNAcentral's name for it is "partial 16S ribosomal RNA". It matches the Rfam family "Bacterial small subunit ribosomal RNA", at positions 29 to 507 of the family's 1533-position model. The record is from RNAcentral.
AGCGAACGCUGGCGGCAGGCCUAACACAUGCAAGUCGAACGAACCUUUCGGGGUUAGUGGCGGACGGGUGAGUAACACGUGGGAACGUGCCUUUAGGUUCGGAAUAACUCAGGGAAACUUGUGCUAAUACCGAAUGUGCCCUUCGGGGGAAAGAUUAAUCGCCUUUAGAGCGGCCCGCGUCUGAUUAGCUAGUUGGUUGAGGUAAUGGCUCACCAAGGCGACGAUCAGUAGCUGGUCUGAGAGGAUGAUCAGCCACAUUGGGACUGAGACACGGCCCAAACUCCUACGGGAGGCAGCAGUGGGGAAUCUUGCGAAAUGGGCGAAAGGCUGACGCAGCCAUGCCGCGUGAAUGAUGAAGGUCUUAGGAUUGUAAAAUUCUUUCACCGGGGACGAUAAUGACGGUACCCGGAGAAGAAGCCCCGGCUAACUUCGUG